This 1607-nucleotide ribosomal RNA is filed under the name Caryophyllaeus laticeps. Its description in RNAcentral is "LSU rRNA". It matches the Rfam family "Eukaryotic large subunit ribosomal RNA", at positions 23 to 968 of the family's 3401-position model. Lineage: Eukaryota; Metazoa; Platyhelminthes; Cestoda; Caryophyllidea; Caryophyllaeidae. The record is from RNAcentral.
GGUCGACCCGCUGAAUUUAAGCAUAUCACUAAGCGGAGGAAAAGAAACUAACCAGGAUUCCCCUAGUAACGGCGAGUGAAGAGGGAAAAGCCCAGCACCGAAGCCUGUGGCAAUUUUGCUGCUAGGCAAUGUGGUGUUUAGGUCGGCUCGUGGGAUCGCCACUCCACUCGAAGUCCAGCAUUGAGUAUGGUUCCCAGGAAUUGGCCCAUAGAGGGUGAAAGGCCCGUACGAGUGGAUGUGUCAGAUAUGUAAGGCGAUUCACCAGGCCGGCCUUAGAGUCGGGUUGUUUGCGAAUGCAGCCCAAAGUGGGUGGUAAACUCCAUCCAAGGCUAAAUACUAGCACGAGUCCGAUAGCGAACAAGUACCGUGAGGGAAAGUUGAAAAGUACUUUGAAGAGAGAGUAAACAGUACGUGAAACCGCAUAGAGGUAAACGGGUGGCGUCAAGCUGCAAGCCCAGAGAAUUCAGUCGGUCAGGGUGUUGUCAUGCGCCCAGCGCAUCUAUCAGUCGGUGUAGGAUUUGGCUAGUCCGCUUGAAGAUGGCGGGCCCAGCUAGCAAUAGCUGGGAUUUGCGUACCGGGCGGUAGCCGGAGCAUGCUAGCCGUCUGUAGGACUGCCUGGCCGAUGCACUUUCUCUGUUGGUGAACACCACGACCGGUGGUACUGCCAGUCUGCUGUAGCCAGCUUCGUUGCAUACUCUGGCCUUUUGGUUGGGGCGUGUGGCGAUCACAGACAAUUUCAGUGCACGGUGCUUGUGUGUUUUUCGCAUGCGGGCAUGUUAUCGGGAACUGGUUGUAAACGGGUCGGCCUGUCGACUUGUCUGUAGUCGUGGUUGAUGGGUGACCCGGUGGGCUAUGGUGGUAUGAAUAACUGUGCAGGGCACCGGAGUUUUCGGUCCGACCAGCAGUAGUCGUUCGCGGCUGCUGUUGCCGGCUGCAUACGCACUGCAGUUUAGCGUGUGCACUGUCUUUGGCAGUAGUACGGGCGGCGCUGUUUACGGCCUGCCAGUCGUUGGGUCUGAUUGUCGUGUCGCCUGCCAAAAUGGUGGGUCCGGCGGUGGCCUGGCGUUGGAUGGUGCCUGUAGACGGAGCUGUCGUUGUGCAGCCGGUAUUUGUGUGCGCGACCUUAUAGUCUGUGGUGUAGUGGUAGACGAGCUACCCGACCCGUCUUGAAACACGGACCAAGGAGUUUAACAUGCGCGCGAGUCAUUGGGUCCUACGAAACCCAGAGGCGCAGUGAAAGUAAAGCUUCGACAUAUAUUGUUCUCGGGGUGUGGUGAGAUCCUGCUGUUUCUCGCAUACAUUUGUCCAGCACUGGGCUAACUAAACGAGCAGUGGGCGCAUCACCGGCCCGUCCCAUGAUGUGGCUAUCUGUCAGUGGCAGUUGUCGCCUUACGGUGGUGGUUGCUUUCUGCGGGUACGUCAUCGGGGCGGAGCAUGAGCGCGCAUGUUGAGACCCGAAAGAUGGUGAACUAUGCUUGCGUAGGUUGAAGCCAGAGGAAACUCUGGUGGAGGACCGCAGCGAUUCUGACGUGCAAAUCGAUCGUCAAACGUGAGUAUAGGGGCGAAAGACUAAUCGAACCAUCUAGUAGCUGGUUCCCUCCGAAGUU